CAUUUCUACGUACUACAUCUCUUUAACUUCCCGCCUAAUGAUUUUCUUUCAUAUAUAAUUAUUAUCUUUCACCUGCAUGCAUGCAUGCUCGUGAAUUCUUUUAUACCUGCUUGAAGAGAGAAAGAAUGAAGAUAGUACGAAUUCCCAAUCACUCCUCUUUCUUUUAUUUGUUUAUUUCUUUUAUUUAUUUGAGGAAAUUCCAUGAUUUUGUUUUCCUGUCUUGGACAUUUUUUUUUCAAAAUUAAGGACAAUUGUAUUAAGGGUACAAAUGUAAUACAGUACAGUUAGUAAGUUGGUUAGAGUAGUUAGACUUUCUCUUAUAAAAACGGUUGUGUAACCUUCAUUCUAUCAAUCAAUACAAAAGCAUAUUUCUCUCUCUAAAUCUCUCUCUCUCUCAAACUCUCUGUAUUGAUCUUUCUUCUCUUCAUCUUUCUUCUUGAUUUUCUUUCAAUUCCCAAAUAUUACAAUGUAGUUAACAUGGUAUCAGAGCCACCAGGCUUACGCCAUUGAUUCUGGUGGUUCCGUAUUUUCUUUUAGAUUUCUUUUUCUAGUUUUAUUUUCUCUUCAGAUUUUCUUGAAUUUUUUCGUCUAAGUUCUUUGGUGUUUCCUUCUUCUCUCUGAUCCAUGAAUCGGAGAAGGAAGCAGAAUCAAGUUCUUACUCAGUUUUUUUGUGGAUGCGAAUCGACUGAAAAACGUCGUCACUGACCUCGCCGAUUUCAACUGGGUCCGGAUGACAGUUGGGUUUGCGGAUCUGGGUUGCCGAUUUCAAUGCCGUGAUAAUCUUUUCCAGUUGCAGCGGCAAUACCGAUCAGAGCCGUACUCUCGCCGAGAUGCGAGUCCUCCUCUCUGAUCCUCAAGAUCUGGCUGUGCAGCACGCACCCCGUCUUCUUCCGACCGAAGCAUUGCAUGGACUCGAUAGCUGGGGCCGCCAUGGUGUUGCUCUCUAGGGUUUGGGGUCUUUUUCAGCCAUUUCUGAAUUUCAAGAUUCUUCAUUUCAAUAUCAAUGUUCGUGAUAUUUGGGAUAUUUGGAUUCAAGAAUAUUGGUUAUUGCUGGAUUGUGCAAUUUGUAUGAUGGUGUCCAGUUCUAUCUCUGCUUCAUUGGAAUUCUGCUCUGUUUCUCUUGUUGGGUUUGAUGUUUCUGCAAAUCUUGAUAUGUUUGGAGAAAUGGGUAUGGAUUCUUGGGUUUGAUUGCUACUAAUAUCUUUAGGGUGUUCAUUGUCGAAUUACUCAGGAAGUUUGCAGUAUCUAAUUAUUGUCUCUCUGCUUCACUGAUUUUCUGCAAUUCUGUUGAGGAGUUUGUGCAGUAAUUUUCUCUUAUCUCAGCCUAUAAUGUCGAGUCUAACCAACUCAAUUGUUAGCAUGAAUCUACAGUAAGUCCGAUUAUACGAUAAAGUUUGAAGAAGUUGAUAACGGUAAAUCCCACGAAGGGUAAUUCCGUGAUGUGAAUAGGUAAAAAUCCCACGAAGGGUAGAAGAAGUUGUUAAUGGUAAAUCCCACGAAGGGUAAUUCCAUGUUAUGAAUAAGUAGUGUUGUGAAUUGGUAAAUCCACAAAGGGCGAUCCCGUGGACAUUAGUGUAGUGUAGUUUAGUAUUGGCAGAAAGCCAUUAGAAAUGGACAUGAAGUCAUUAGUACUUGAAGAUUGUUGGCACGAAGCCAUUAGAAGUUGAAAUUUGUUGGCACGAAGCUGUUAGUAAGUAGUUUUGAUUGUGGGCAAGAAGCCAUUGUUAAAAGAAGUUGUUGACAGUAAAUCCCACGAAGGGUAAUUCUGUAAGAAAUUAUUAUAAUCGGCCUGAGGAUGUGUUACAAUUUUAUUCUAUUUGGUUUGCAAUAGCUACAGAGGUGUCGACAUCAGUUUGUGGUGCUGAAAUUCUUUGGAAAUAACCAAUAUGCAAUUGCGCAGUUUAGUGAUGCCAGUCAAUGCUGGAGAAGUUUGAGUCAAUAGCAAAGCGAUGCUAAACAAUGAUGGAAAGGUUUGAGGCAAAAGCAAUGUGAUGUCAAAAGAUUCAAGUUCGCAGAGAGGGUUGUUGCUUUGGAAGUGGCUGUGGCUGGCGGGACCAAGGUUUUCGAUAAGGAAUUUGGUGUGUCAACAGAGUUGCUCAUGAGACUUUGUUGUGGGAUUGCAAGAUUGCAGAUGGUUCAACAUUGUGUUCAGUGAUUGUAGAUGUUUUUCCAAUCUCAAACUGGGUUAACCCAGUUGAGAUUGAGGGGGAGUAUUAAGGGUACAAAUGUAAUACAGUACAGUUAGUAAGUUGGUUAGAGUAGUUAGACUUUCUCUUAUAAAACGGUUGUGUAACCUUCAUUCUAUCAAUCAAUACAAAAGCAUAUUUCUCUCUCUAAAUCUCUCUCUCUCUCUCUCAAACUCUCUGUAUUGAUCUUUCUUCUCUUCAUCUUUCUUCUUGAUUUUCUUUCAAUUCCCAAAUAUUACAAUGUAGUUAACAAAUUGGACAGUUUUUUCUGAGUCUUGUAGAAGAGUAAAAAAGAAGUUGGAAAAGAAUAGAGUUGUAAUUGCUGUCUUUGUCAUCUACAAUUAUAAAGUGGAAGAUAAAGUAAGAGAAAUACAAUUUUUUUAAAGUGCUAUUCACACAUCAAUUUUUAAUUCUUACAUCCUUUUAUUAAUUUUUUUUUGUCAAAUUUUUUUUUAAUUCAUUCAAUUUAAAGGUUAAAAAUUAAGAAGAGUGAAAAGUAAAAAUAGGCGUGUAACUAGCGCUAUCCUAUUUUUUAACACUCAGUUGGACAACCAAAAUCUUGGACAUUUUUAUUCGUUGUUCAUAAAUUAUUUUAUUUUCUAUUUCUGUUUUAAUUUUUAACCAUCCGAUAAUCUAAUUUGACUUCUUGUUUUCUCAUUCUUCGCGGGCCACGCAUUCAACUGAGCUUUUUGUGCCGUAGUGCCAAAAAAAUAGUGAAUCUGCGCGUAUACAUAUUAGGACAAAAAAAGAAGUCAUGUUCUCACAGAAAAGGUAGACGAGUUUGAAUAACAAAUGUGAACUGUG
Molecule: long non-coding RNA, 2990 nt
Filed under: Malus domestica (apple)
Lineage: Eukaryota; Viridiplantae; Streptophyta; Magnoliopsida; Rosales; Rosaceae
Description: long non-coding RNA (MDOM_LNC011593)
Source: RNAcentral